UUAAAUGGCCGCGGUAUUUUGACCGUGCUAAGGUAGCAUAAUCAUUAGUUUUUUAAUUGGAAACUGGUAUGAAGGGCUGAAUGAAAAAGAGACUGUCUCUAUUUAAUUAUAAUAAAAUUUUAUUUUUAAGUUAAAAAGCUUAAAUUUAAUUAAAAGACGAGAAGACCCUAUAGAGUUUAAUAAUUUUAUAAUAUAUAAAAUUUAGAAUUAAUUUUUUUAUUUUUAUAAAAUUAUUUGAUUGGGGUGAUUAAAAAAUUUAAUAAACUUUUUUUAUAUAUUUAUAUUAAUGUAUAGGUUUUUGAUCCAAAAAUUUUGAUUAAAAGAUUAAAUUACCUUAGGGAUAACAGCGUAAUUUUAUUAGAGAGUU
Molecule: ribosomal RNA, 367 nt
Filed under: Pyrrhalta aenescens
Lineage: Eukaryota; Metazoa; Arthropoda; Insecta; Coleoptera; Chrysomelidae
Description: partial 16S ribosomal RNA
Source: RNAcentral